This 328-nucleotide ribosomal RNA is filed under the name uncultured eukaryote. RNAcentral describes it as "partial 18S ribosomal RNA". It matches the Rfam family "Eukaryotic small subunit ribosomal RNA", at positions 1470 to 1796 of the family's 1831-position model. The record is from RNAcentral.
CCCUUAGAUGUCCGGGGCUGCACGCGCGCUACACUGAAGGAAUCAGCGUGCUAAAACCAUUGUCGAAAGGCAUUGGUAAACCCAUUAAAAUCCUACGUGAUUGGGAUCGGGAAUUGCAAUUAUUUCCCUUGAACGAGGAAUUCCCAGUAAGUGUGGGUCAUAAGCUCGCGUUGAUUACGUCCCUGCCCUUUGUACACACCGCCCGUCGCUGCCCGGGACUGAGCCGUUUCGAGAAAAGCGGGGACUGCUGCUGUCGGGGCUUGCGGGCCUUGGCUUCGGUGGAAACCGCUUUAAUCGCAGUGGCUUGAACCGGGCAAAAGUCGUAACA